UACGUAGGCAGCAAGCGUUGGUCGGAGUUACUGGGCGUAAAGAGUGCGUAGGCGGUUCGCCAAGUCUGGUGUGAAAUCUCCCGGCUUAACCGGGAGGGUGCGCCGGAAACUGGCGAGCUCGAGUGUGGGAGAGGAAAGCGGAAUUCCUGGUGUAGCGGUGAAAUGCGUAGAUAUCAGGAGGAACACCGGUGGUGUAGACGGCUUUCUGGACCACUACUGACGCUGAGGCACGAAAGCGUGGGGAGCAAACAG
RNAcentral lists this ribosomal RNA (252 nucleotides) under uncultured bacterium. RNAcentral describes it as "partial 16S ribosomal RNA". It matches the Rfam family "Bacterial small subunit ribosomal RNA", at positions 524 to 775 of the family's 1533-position model. The record is from RNAcentral.